RNAcentral lists this ribosomal RNA (111 nucleotides) under Ahnfeltiopsis sp. FredericqS_6.ix.93. RNAcentral describes it as "partial large subunit ribosomal RNA". The record is from RNAcentral. Lineage: Eukaryota; Rhodophyta; Florideophyceae; Gigartinales; Phyllophoraceae.
AAACCGUUACGGGGAAGCGGAUUGCGUUGGAUUGAUGGGCGCUUGUGUGUUCAGCCUUCGGGUGCAUUGGCACAAGUGCUUAUCCGCUGUGAGUUCUCGGGGGUCGAUUUU